GCACAAAAAGCUGAACUAAAAGCUAUCAUUGCUGCCUUAAAAUAUGCAAAACAUAGAAGAGUGAAUAUUUUUUCAGAUUCUGCUUACAUUGUAAAUGCUGUACAUAUGGAACUUCCACAGUGGGAAAAAGGUGGAUAUCUGACAUCCACUCACAAACCAAUUAAACAUGCCAAACUCAUGAAGGACUUGGCACAGGCUCUCUUAGAACCCACAGAAGUGGCAGUUGUUAAACACGAAAAGCCAG
Melanotaenia boesemani (Boeseman's rainbowfish) is the source of this 244-nucleotide long non-coding RNA. RefSeq lists it as uncharacterized. The transcript is spliced from 3 exons. Lineage: Eukaryota; Metazoa; Chordata; Actinopteri; Atheriniformes; Melanotaeniidae. The record is from RefSeq and is a predicted model, not a curated record.